Molecule: ribosomal RNA, 456 nt
Filed under: uncultured Desulfocapsa sp.
Lineage: Bacteria; Pseudomonadati; Thermodesulfobacteriota; Desulfobulbia; Desulfobulbales; Desulfocapsaceae
Description: bacterial SSU rRNA
Rfam family: Bacterial small subunit ribosomal RNA
Source: RNAcentral
CGGUGGAGUAUGUGGUUUAAUUCGACGCAACGCGCAGAACCUUACCUUGGUCUUGACAUCCCGGGAAUUCCUUGAAAGAGGGAAGUGCCUCGCAAGAGGAGCCUGGAGACAGGUGCUGCAUGGCUGUCGUCAGCUCGUGCCGUGAGGUGUUUGGAUUAAGUUCCGCAACGAGUGCAACCCUCGCUGUUAGUUGCCAGCAUUAAGUUGGGCACUCUAGCGGUACUGCCGGCGUCAAGCCGGAGGAAGGUGGGGACGACGUCAAGUCAUCAUGCCCCUUACGUCCAGGGCUACACACGUGCUACAAUGGCAGGUACAACGGGUUGCCACCUAGCAAUAGGGAGCGAAUCCCUUAAAGCCUGUCUCAGUCCGGAUUGGAGGCUGCAACUCGACUCCAUGAAGUUGGAAUCGCUAGUAAUCGCAGAUCAGCACGCUGCGGUGAAUACGUUCCCGGGCCUU